RNAcentral lists this ribosomal RNA (714 nucleotides) under uncultured bacterium. RNAcentral's name for it is "bacterial SSU rRNA". It matches the Rfam family "Bacterial small subunit ribosomal RNA", at positions 28 to 719 of the family's 1533-position model. The record is from RNAcentral.
AGCGAACGUUAGCGGCGGGCCUAACACAUGCAAGUCGAACGCGAAAGGUCUUCGGACUGAGUAGAGUGGCGCACGGGUGAGUAACGCGUAGGUAAUCUACCCUUUGGCGGGGGAUAACGUUCCGAAAGGAGCGCUAAUACCGCAUAAGACCACGACCUCUUCGGGGGAUGUGGGAACAGGUGGCCUCUUCUUGAAAGCUACCACCGGAGGAUGAGCCUGCGUCCCAUCAGCUAGUUGGUAGGGUAAUGGCCUACCAAGGCGAAGACGGGUAGCUGGUUUGAGAGAAUGAUCAGCCACACUGGCACUGGAACACGGGCCAGACUCCUACGGGAGGCAGCAGUGAGGAAUAUUGGGCAAUGGGCGAAAGCCUGACCCAGCCACGCCGCGUGAGUGAUGAAGGCCCUCGGGUCGUAAAGCUCUGUGGAGAGGGACGAAAACCCUGGUUUCGAAUAGGCUCCAGGCUUGACGGUACCUCUUUAGCAAGCACCGGCUAACUCUGUGCCAGCAGCCGCGGUAAUACAGAGGGUGCAAACGUUGCUCGGAUUUACUGGGCGUAAAGCGCGUGUAGGCGGGCAUGAAAGUCGGACGUGAAAUCCCUGGGCUCAACCCAGGAACUGCGUUCGAAACUCCAUGUCUAGAGUAGUGGAGAGGAAAAGUAGAAUUCCCGGUGUAGAGGUGAAAUUCGUAGAUAUCGGGAGGAAUACCAGUGGCGAA